UACGGAAGGCAGCAGUGGGGAAUAUUGCACAAUGGGCGCAAGCCUGAUGCAGCCAUGCCGCGUGUAUGAAGAAGGCCUUCGGGUUGUAAAGUACUUUCAGUCGUGAGGAAGGUGUUAAGGUUAAUAACCUUAGCAAUUGACGUUAGCGACAGAAGAAGCACCGGCUAACUCCGUGCCAGCAGCCGCGGUAAUACGGAGGGUGUGAGCGUUAAUCGGAAUUACUGGGCGUAAAGGGCACGCAGGCGGUUAAUUAAGUUGGAUGUGAAAUCCCCGGGCUUAACCUGGGAAUGGCAUUCAAGACUGGUUAGCUAGAGUCUUGUAGAGGGGGUAGAAUUCCAUGUGUAGCGGUGAAAUGCGUAGAGAUGUGGAGGAAUACCGGUGGCGAAGGCGGCCCCUGGACAAAGACUGACGCUCAUGUGCGAAGCGUGGGGAGCAAACAGGGAUUAGAUACC
RNAcentral lists this ribosomal RNA (452 nucleotides) under uncultured bacterium. RNAcentral describes it as "bacterial SSU rRNA". It matches the Rfam family "Bacterial small subunit ribosomal RNA", at positions 340 to 786 of the family's 1533-position model. The record is from RNAcentral.